UGGGCGUUCGGUGGAUGUCUUGGCAUGAGUGGCUGAUGAAGGACGUGGCGGCCUGCGUUAUUCCCUGGGGAGUUGGCGAGCGAGCGUUGAUCUGGGGGUUUCCGAAUGGGGUAACCUAGCCUCCUGUUUGGGGGUUACUGCGCACUGAAUUGAUAGGUGUGUGGGAGGUACGAGGGGAAGUGAAACAUCUUAGUACCCUUAGGAGAAGAUAUUUCGUGAGUAGUGGUGAGCGAAAGCGGAUGAUGGCUAAACCGUGUGCGUGUGAUACUCGGCAGGGGUUGCGUGUGCGGUGUUGUGGGGUCUUUUUGUUGCUUGUCUGCCGGCGAGUAGAUUCCGGGAUGAUUGUUUUGGCGAAGGGUUUGGAAUGGCCUGCCGUAGUGCGUGAGAGUCGUGUAGUUUUUGAUGAUUGUUCUGGUUUGGAGAAGGUGCCCGAGUAGUGCGGGACUCGUGGAAUCUCGUGUGAAUCUGCCCAGACCACUGGGUAAGCCUGAAUACUUACUUGUGACCGAUAGUGGAUUAGUACCGUGAGGGAAUGGUGAAAAGUACCCCGGGAGGGGAGUGAAAUAGUUCCUGAAACCGGGCGCUUACAAGCCGUCAGAGCCUGUUUGUUGGGUGAUGGCGUGCCUAUUGAAGAAUGAGCCUGCGAGUUAGUGGCAUGUGGCUUGGUUAACCCGUGUGGGGUAGUCGUAGCGAAAGCGAGUCUGAUAAGGGCGUUUGGUCGCGUGUUCUAGACCCGAAGCGGGGUGAUCUACGCAUGGUCAGGUUGAAGCUAUGGUAAGACGUGGUGGAGGACCGAACCCACUUCAGUUGAAAAUGGAGGGGAUGAACUGUGCGUAGGGGUGAAAGGCCAAUCAAACUCCGUGAUAGCUGGUUCUCCCCGAAAUGCAUUUAGGUGCAGCGUUGAGUUUAGGUUUGUGUGAGGUAGAGCUACUGGUUGGUCAAUGGGCCUUGUUGGUUACUGAGACCAGCCAAACUCCGAAUGCGCAUUAAACUAUUGCUUGGCAGUGAGACAGCGGGGGAUAAGCUUCGUUGUCAAAAGGGAAACAGCCCAGAUCGCCGGUUAAGGCCCCUAAGGGUAUGCUUAGUGGGAAAGGAUGUGUAGUUGCUGUGACAGCCAGGAGGUUGGCUUAGAAGCAGCCAUCCUUGAAAGAGUGCGUAAUAGCUCACUGGUUUAGUGAUUGCGCGCCGAUAAUUUAGCGGGGCUUAAGCAUACCGCCGAUACCGUGGCUUCCAUACGUGUGCUGGCUGCUCUUUGUUGGGUGGUUGGUGUGUGGUUGGGUAGGGGAGCGUCCUGCAUGAGGUGAAGUUUCGGAGUGAUCCGGGGUGGAUUGUGUGGGAGUGAGAAUGCAGGCAUGAGUAGCGAUUGAGAAGUGAGAAUCUUUUCCGUCUUAUAACUAAGGGUUCCAGGGGUAGGUUCGUCCGCUCUGGGUUAGUCGGGUCCUAAGGCGAGGCCGUCAGGCGUAGUCGAUGGUUAACCAGUUUUUAUUCUGGUACCGGCAUAUUCUCGUUCAGUGGUGAGGCGCAUAGUACUAACCAAUAUUUACUGCUGGUUUUCCCUUUCGGGGGUUUGCUGGUGGUGGUCUUGGGACCGAUGUGUGUAGUAGUCAAGCGUGUUAACAGGGGUGACGCAGUUAGAUAGCUCAGCGUCGUGAUGGUUUACGGCGUUCAAGCAUGUGGCCUAUCGGGUUGGUAAAUCCGCUCGUGUUUGGGUGAGGUGUGAUGGUGACCUGUUUUUGUGGGGAUAUUGGGUGAUUCUGUGCUGUCUAGAAAAGCCUCGGCGUUAGAGGGUGUGUUGCCCGUACCCUAAACCGACACAGGUGGUUUGGUAGAGAAUACUAAGACGUGCGAGUGAAUCAUGGUUAAGGAACUCGGCAAAAUGCCUCCGUAACUUUGGGAGAAGGAGGACCCGGCCUUUUACAUUACCUUUGCGGUUUUGGUGGGGGUUGGGGCGCAGAGACCAGGGGGAAGCGACUGUUUAUCAAAAACAUAGGUGUGUGCGAAGCCGUAAGUAAACGGCGGUGGUAACUAUAACCAUCCUAAGGUAGCGAAAUUCCUUGUCGGGUAAGUUCCGACCUGCACGAAUGGCGUAACGACUUCCCUGCUGUCUCGACCGUGAGCUCGGUGAAAUUGCAUUAUGAGUAAAGAUGCUCGUUUAGCGCAGCAGGACGGAAAGACCCCGGGACCUUUACUAUAGCUUGGUAUUGGUGGUUGAUUAUGCUUGUGUAGAAUAGGUGGGAGACUGUGAGGCCGCGCCGCUAGGUGUGGUGGAGUUGUAAUGUGAAAUACCACUCUGGUGUGAUUGGCUGUCUUAACCUUGGCCCGUGAUCCGGGUUGGGGACAGUGCCUGGUGGGUAGUUUAACUGGGGCGGUUGCCUCCUAAAAGGUAACGGAGGCGCUCAAUGGUUCCCUCAUCCUGGUUGGUAAUCAGGUGUUGAGUGUAAGUGCACAAGGGAGCUUGACUGUGACACUGACGGGUGGAGCAGGUACGAAAGUAGGAACUAGUGAUCCGGCAAUGGCUUGUGGAAGCGUUGUCGCUCAACGGAUAAAAGGUACCCCGGGGAUAACAGGCUGAUCUUGCCCAAGAGUCCAUAUCGACGGCAUGGUUUGGCACCUCGAUGUCGGCUCGUCGCAUCCUGGGGCUGGAGUUGGUCCCAAGGGUUGGGCUGUUCGCCCAUUAAAGCGGUACGCGAGCUGGGUUCAGAACGUCGUGAGACAGUUCGGUCCCUAUCCGCUGCGUUCGUUGGAGAUUUGAGAGGGCCUGUCCCUAGUACGAGAGGACCGGGACGGACGAACCUCUGGUGUGCCAGUUGUACCGCCAGGUGCAUGGCUGGUUUGCUACGUUCGGGAGGGAUAACCGCUGAAAGCAUCUAAGCGGGAAGCCUGCCUCGAGAUAAGAUCUCCGUGCACUGUUUGU
RNAcentral lists this ribosomal RNA (2914 nucleotides) under human vaginal metagenome. RNAcentral describes it as "bacterial LSU rRNA". It matches the Rfam family "Bacterial large subunit ribosomal RNA". The record is from RNAcentral.